RNAcentral lists this ribosomal RNA (421 nucleotides) under uncultured bacterium. RNAcentral's name for it is "bacterial SSU rRNA". It matches the Rfam family "Bacterial small subunit ribosomal RNA", at positions 355 to 773 of the family's 1533-position model. The record is from RNAcentral.
UGAGGAAUAUUGGUCAAUGGGUGCAAGCCUGAACCAGCCAUCCCGCGUGAAGGACGACUGCCCUAUGGGUUGUAAACUUCUUUUGUAUAGGGAUAAACCUACCCUCGUGAGGGUAGCUGAAGGUACUAUACGAAUAAGCACCGGCUAACUCCGUGCCAGCAGCCGCGGUAAUACGGAGGGUGCAAGCGUUAUCCGGAUUUAUUGGGUUUAAAGGGUCCGUAGGCGGACUUAUAAGUCAGUGGUGAAAGCCUGUCGCUUAACGAUAGAACUGCCAUUGAUACUGUAAGUCUUGAGUAUAUUUGAGGUAGCUGGAAUAAGUAGUGUAGCGGUGAAAUGCAUAGUUAUUACUUAGAACACCAAUUGCGAAGGCAGGUUACCAAGAUAUAACUGACGCUGAGGGACGAAAGUGUGGGGAGCGAAC